UGGUGCAUGGUUGUCGUCAGCUCGUGUCGUGAGAUGUUGGUUAAGUCCCGCAACGAGCGCAACCCCUACGUUUAGUUGCUAACGCGUGAAGGCGAGCACUCUAGACGAACUGCCGUUGACAAAACGGAGGAAGGUGGGGAUGACGUCAAAUCAUCAUGCCCCUUAUGUUCUGGGCUACACACGUGCUACAAUGGCCGGUACAGACGGACGCAAAGCCGCGAGGUGGAGCAAAUCCUAAAAAGCCGGUCUCAGUUCGGAUUGCAGGCUGCAAUUCGCCUGCAUGAAGUCGGAAUCGCUAGUAAUCGCAGGUCAGCAUACUGCGGUGAAUACGUUCCCGGGCCUU
Molecule: ribosomal RNA, 343 nt
Filed under: uncultured Pelotomaculum sp.
Lineage: Bacteria; Bacillati; Bacillota; Clostridia; Eubacteriales; Desulfotomaculaceae
Description: bacterial SSU rRNA
Rfam family: Bacterial small subunit ribosomal RNA
Source: RNAcentral